RNAcentral lists this ribosomal RNA (253 nucleotides) under uncultured bacterium. RNAcentral describes it as "partial 16S ribosomal RNA". It matches the Rfam family "Bacterial small subunit ribosomal RNA", at positions 524 to 776 of the family's 1533-position model. The record is from RNAcentral.
UACGGGGGGGGCAAGCGUUGUUCGGAAUUACUGGGCGUAAAGGGCUCGUAGGCGGCCAACUAAGUCGGAUGUGAAAUCCCCAGGCUUAACUUGGGAACUGCAUCCGAUACUGGAUGGCUUGAAUCCGGGAGAGGGAUGCGGAAUUCCAGGUGUAGCGGCGAAAUGCGUAGAUAUCUGGAGGAACACCGGUGGCGAAGGCGGCAUCCUGGACCGGCAUUGACGCUGAUGAGCGAAAGCCAGGGGAGCAAACGGG